Molecule: ribosomal RNA, 254 nt
Filed under: uncultured bacterium
Lineage: Bacteria
Description: partial 16S ribosomal RNA
Rfam family: Bacterial small subunit ribosomal RNA
Source: RNAcentral
UACGUAGGGGGCGAGCGUUGUCCGAAGUUACUGGGCGUAAAGCGCGCGUAGGCGGGUCUUUAAGUGAGAGGUGAAAGGUUCAGGGCUCAACCCGGACACUGCCUUUCAUACUGGGGACCUUGAGUGCAGGAGAGGCGAGUGGAAUGGUCGGUGUAGCGGUGAAAUGCGUAGAUAUCGAUCGGAACACCCAUGGCGAAGGCAGCUCGCUGGCCUGUAACUGACGCUGAGGUGCGAAAGCGUGGGGAGCAAACAGG